Molecule: transfer RNA, 69 nt
Filed under: Myrmeleon formicarius
Lineage: Eukaryota; Metazoa; Arthropoda; Insecta; Neuroptera; Myrmeleontidae
Description: tRNA-Glu
Rfam family: tRNA
About the family: Transfer RNA (tRNA) molecules are approximately 80 nucleotides in length.
Source: RNAcentral
UAUUUAUGUAGUUUAAAUAAAACAUUACAUUUUCAUUGUAAAAAUAAAAUUUCAUUUUUCAUAAAUAUU